Long non-coding RNA from Mastomys coucha (southern multimammate mouse), 659 nucleotides. RefSeq lists it as uncharacterized. The record is from RefSeq and is a predicted model, not a curated record. Lineage: Eukaryota; Metazoa; Chordata; Mammalia; Rodentia; Muridae. The transcript has 2 exons.
GGCUGACAGGAGUUAGCAGUGCACACAAUGAAGUCUGUUCUUAUCCAGGGGUUCUGACCAUACCCUGCACACAGUAACUGCACUGUGGGCUACCUCUCCACCCCUCGGAUCAGAGCCCCCCAACACACACACCGCGCGCUUCCGCCACCCCUUCCUGGUACCUGCCCAGUUCCUCGCCGGUGUCGUAGUAGUCGUCCACGUUUUCCUGCCUGAACACAGUCAUGAUAGACUGUCACGCCUCACCAAAGCCCAGGCCACUCCGGCUCCGCGGCCCGAACCAUCCCCACCGCCGCCUCGCUGCUGCGGGCCCCUCAUGCACCAAGCCGCAGACCUCUGAAAGACAUGUGGAAAAGAAUGAAAUGGUAAACCCCCCAAAAUCCGGGUCCCGGGAGCUGGGCCCCGAUCUCGAGGCCUCCCGCGGGCAGGGGCCACGCGCCCUUUGUUAAAUCUGGGCUGGGAGACCCCCACACCCCGCACUGCCGCGCCCCAGCCCCGUGCCUGCGGUUCCCGGGCUCGUGCCUCCGCCUCCGGACGGCGUGGGGACAGCUCAGGGAAGGGACACAAAGCGCCCUGCCCGGCCACCUGUUCCCCCGCCCGGCGCCCGGGCCGCCCUCCUGCUCCUCCCACUGCCUGCGGCGGCCACUCACCCGGCCCCGCAG